This 62-nucleotide microRNA precursor is filed under the name Callorhinchus milii (elephant shark). Its description in RNAcentral is "Cmi-Mir-216-P2b_pre stem-loop". It matches the Rfam family "mir-216 microRNA precursor family", at positions 9 to 70 of the family's 77-position model. The record is from RNAcentral. Lineage: Eukaryota; Metazoa; Chordata; Chondrichthyes; Chimaeriformes; Callorhinchidae.
UAAUCUCAGCUGGCAACUGUGAGUGCUUAAUGGUUUCCCCCACAGUGGUUGCUGGGAUUAUG